RNAcentral lists this ribosomal RNA (1380 nucleotides) under Triticum aestivum (bread wheat). Its description in RNAcentral is "partial small subunit ribosomal RNA". The record is from RNAcentral. Lineage: Eukaryota; Viridiplantae; Streptophyta; Magnoliopsida; Poales; Poaceae.
AUGGAGCCUGUGGCCGUCGUGGCGGUGCCGUUCCCGGCGCAGGGGCACCUCAACCAGCUACUGCACCUGUCGCUGCAGCUCGCUCACGACCUCGGCAUCCCCAGCUACGUCUCCCCGCCCCCGGACCCCACCGCCGACUCGCCCUUCCCCUCCCACCUCAUGCCCAUGUUCAAGGCCUACAUCGCCGGCGCGCGCGCCCCGCUCGCGGCUCUCCUCGACAAGCUUUCCGGCUCCUACCGCCGCAUAGUCGUAGUGCACGACCCCAUCAACGCCUUCGCCGCCGAGGAGGCCGCGCGGCUGCCCAACGGCGAGUCGCUCGGGCUGCACUGCUUGGCCGUGUCCAUGCUCGUUGGAAGAAUGGAUGCCAAUCACCGGCUACUGCGAGAGAACGGCCUCGUCUACAGCGCCAUCGAGGAAUGUGCGACCAAGGAGUUCGUGGAGUACGCCAACCGGGCCAGACCGACGAAAGACAUCUCGCCCGGCGCGGGCAUCCUGGCAAACACAUGCCGCGCGCUCGAGGGUGAAUUCAUCGACGUUGAGAGCAAGCAGCGGCACGAGUGCCUGAACUGGCUGGACGAGCAGCCUCCGGCGUCGGUGCUGUAUGUGUCCUUCGGCACGACGUCGUCCCUGCGAGCCGAGCAAAUCGAAGAGCUCGCAGCAGCACUGCGCGGCAGCAACCAACGCUUCAUCUGGGUGCUGCGCGACGCGGACCGCGGCGACAUAUUCGCGGAGGCCGGCAAGAGCUGCCACGAGGAGCUGCUGUCAGAGUUCACCAAGCACACGGAAGGGAGGGGGCUGGUGAUCACCGGGUGGGCGCCGCAGCUGGAGAUCCUAGCACACAGCGCCACGGCCGCGUUCAUGAGCCACUGCGGCUGGAACUCGACCAUGGAGAGCCUGAGCCACGGCAAGCCGAUUCUGGCAUGGCCCAUGCACUGCGACCAGCCGUGGGACGCGGAGCUUAUCUGCAACUACCUCAAGGCAGGCAUCCUCGUGCGCCCAUGGGAGAAGCACAGUGAGGUGGUCACGGCGAAGGCCAUCCAGGAAGUCAUCGAGGAGGCCAUGCUCUCCGACAAAGGAAUGGCCGUCCGGCAACGGGCAAGGGUGCUCGGAGAUGCCGUCCCCGCCUCCGUGUCUGACGGCGGUUCGUCGCGCCAGGACCUAGAUGAUUUCACUGCUUACAUCAGAAGUCAAUUGUUACCAGCUGUCGAAUGUGAAAUGAACGCCCGAAUCACCUUUUUCAACCUCGCGCACCCUCUUGUUCAUCUUCUUCCUUCGAACCGCCGUGCCGCCGACGUCGCCUGCUUCCGCCACCCGCGGCCGGUGGCGCUCCCACGCAGCCUCGCUGCACCGCCCUCCCCCAACCGCGGCCCAUUCCUGUAA